Molecule: ribosomal RNA, 492 nt
Filed under: Syllis alternata
Lineage: Eukaryota; Metazoa; Annelida; Polychaeta; Phyllodocida; Syllidae
Description: partial 16S ribosomal RNA
Rfam family: Bacterial large subunit ribosomal RNA
Source: RNAcentral
AAAAACAUUGCCUAUAGAAACAACUAUCAUAGGUAACUCUGCCCAGUGAAAAUUUUUAACGGCCGCGGUACUCUGACCGUGCGAAGGUAGCACAAUAAUGAGCCUCCUAAUUAGAGGAUAGAAUGAAUGAACCAACAAGAUGUUUUCUGUCUCUUUAACACAACUCAAAAUUUAUUUUUAGGUGAAAAAGCCUAAAUUCCUUCCAAAGACAAAAAGACCCUAAAAGCUUUUUAUUCAACUUUUCACCUAAAAACCAAUAUUUAGUUGGGGCGACUCUCAGAUUUAUACACUUCUUAAAAUAUGGAGCAAUCACUCUCUCCACACGUAGCCACCCGCACACAAGUAAGCUACUUUAGGGAUAACAGGCUAGUACUUCCUAAGAGUACGCAUCAACGGAAGUGUUCGGCACCUCGAUGUUGGCUUAGGGAACCUAAUUCAUGCAAAAGUAAAUUUAGGAGGUUUGUUCAACCAUUAAUACCCUACAUGAUCUGA